UGCGCUGAUGCUAUCACUAAUAGGAAGUGCCAUCAGAAGUGAUAACUGAUAAUAACUACUCCUGGCUGAAU
Chinchilla lanigera (long-tailed chinchilla) is the source of this 71-nucleotide small nucleolar RNA. NCBI's taxonomy places the organism in Eukaryota, Metazoa, Chordata, Mammalia, Rodentia, Chinchillidae. The record is from Ensembl.